This 54-nucleotide transfer RNA is filed under the name Holostephanus sp. FJ-2023. Its description in RNAcentral is "tRNA-Glu". Lineage: Eukaryota; Metazoa; Platyhelminthes; Trematoda; Diplostomida; Cyathocotylidae. The record is from RNAcentral.
GUCGAUUGGGUGUGUUGGCAUACUAAUUUUUCGUGUUAGAGGAAUCUGUUGGGA